CCUACGGGUGGCAGCAGUAGGGAAUCUUCCACAAUGGACGAAAGUCUGAUGGAGCAACGCCGCGUGAGUGAAGAAGGGUUUCGGCUCGUAAAGCUCUGUUGGUAGUGAAGAAAGAUAUAGGUAGUAACUGGCCUUUAUUUGACGUUAAUUACUUAUAAAGUACCGGCUAACUACGUGCCAACAGCCGCGUUAAUACGUAGGUGGCAAGCGUUGUCCGGAUUUAUUGGGCGUAAAGCGAGUGCAGGCGGUUCAAUAAGUCUGCUGUGAAAGCCUUCGGCUCAACCGGAGAAUUGCAUCCGAAACUGGUGAACUUGAGUGCAGAAGAGGAGAGUGGAACUCCAUGUGUAGCGGUGGAAUGCGUAGAGAUAUGGAAGAACACCAGUGGCGAAGGCGGCUCUCUGGGCUGCAACUGACGCUGAGGCUCGAAAGCAUGGGUAGCGAACAGGAUUAGAUACCCUAGUAGUC
Molecule: ribosomal RNA, 465 nt
Filed under: uncultured bacterium
Lineage: Bacteria
Description: partial 16S ribosomal RNA
Rfam family: Bacterial small subunit ribosomal RNA
Source: RNAcentral